Molecule: ribosomal RNA, 435 nt
Filed under: uncultured bacterium
Lineage: Bacteria
Description: partial 16S ribosomal RNA
Rfam family: Bacterial small subunit ribosomal RNA
Source: RNAcentral
AACGAACGCUGGCGGCAUGCUUAACACAUGCAAGUCGAACGCUUGCCCUCGGGUGUUAGUGGCGCACGGGUGCGUAAAGCGUGGGAAUCUGCCCUUAGGAUCGGCAUAAUAGCUGGAAACGGCUGCUAGUACCGGAUGAUAUCGCGAGAUCUGAGAUGUGCCGCCUGAGGAUGUGCCCGGGUUGGGUUAUGCAGUUGGUGGGGUAAAGGCCUACCAAGCCGACGAUCGAUAGCUGGUCAGAGAGGAUGAGCGGUCACGCUGGGACUGAGACACGGCCCAGAAUCCUGGAAGAGGGGGCAAUGGGGGAUAUUGGAAUGUGGGCGCGAGCCUGAACCAGCGGUGGCGCUUGAGUGAUGAAGGCCUUAGGGUUAUGAAGCACUUUUACCCGGGAAGAUAAUGACGGUACCGGGAGAAGAAGCCCCGGCUAACUCCGUG